GGAUAACUACCCUUUAGGACUGGGAUAACCCUGGGAAACUGGGGAUAAUACCGGAUAGGCAAUUUUUCCUGUAAUGGUUUUUUGUUUAAAUGUUUUUUCGCCUAAGGAUGGGUCUGCGGCCGAUUAGGUAGUUGGUUAGGUAAUGGCUUACCAAGCCGUUGAUCGGUACGGGUUGUGAGAGCGAGAGCCCGGAGAUGGAACCUGAGACAAGGUUCCAGGCCCUACGGGGUGCAGCAGGCGCGAAACCUCCGCAAUGUGAGAAAUCGCGACGGGGGGAUCCCAAGUGCCAUUCUUAACGGGAUGGCUUUUCAUUAGUGUAAAGAGCUUUUGGAAUAAGGGCUGGGCAAGACCGGUGCCAGCCGCCGCGGUAACACCGGCAGCUCUAGCGGUAGCAGUUUUUAUUGGGCCUAAAGCGUCCGUAGCCGGUUUAAUAAGUCUCUGGUGAAAUCCUGUAGCUUAACUGUGGGAAUUGCUGGAGAUACUAUUAGACUUGAGACCGGGAGAGGUUAGAGGUACUCCCAGGGUAGAGGUGAAAUUCUGUAAUCCUGGGAGGACCGCCUGUUGCGAAGGCGUCUAACUGGAACGGUUCUGACGGUGAGGGACGAAAGUUAGGGGCGCGAACCGGAUUAGAUACCCGGGUAGUCCUAACUGUAAACGAUGCGGACUUGGUGUUGGGGUGGCUUUGAGCUGCUUCAGUGCCGAAGGGAAGCUGUUAAGUCCGCCGCCUGGGAAGUACGGUCGCAAGACUGAAACUUAA
Molecule: ribosomal RNA, 757 nt
Filed under: uncultured archaeon
Lineage: Archaea
Description: bacterial SSU rRNA
Rfam family: Archaeal small subunit ribosomal RNA
Source: RNAcentral